Long non-coding RNA from Seriola aureovittata, 644 nucleotides. RefSeq lists it as uncharacterized. The record is from RefSeq and is a predicted model, not a curated record. Lineage: Eukaryota; Metazoa; Chordata; Actinopteri; Carangiformes; Carangidae. The transcript has 3 exons.
GGAAGCUGACACUCAGAGAAACCAUGCACGAAGAACGGCCCUCUUAUCUCCAAAGGGGCAGGAUGGCAACAGAAGGUUUUGCCAGCAGCACCCACGGGAUGGCAAUCACAUGCUGUGAGGAAACAGAGGAAGAAAGAGAGGCAAAAAGCCCCUCCACCGAUCUUCCGGGGUUUCUCGUUCAUCUUUGACCUGCACCAGGGGAUCACUUCGCACCUCGGCUCUGUUUGUUUUGCUUGUCCUGUCAUUCCUUAACCCACCCGAAUGAAGCCAAAUAACUCAGUGUCGAUGAGGGAACACCCAGCCCAAGCCUCCCAUACCACCACGACCUCCACAAUCCCGACAGACCCCCAACUCAUCUCCGCUGACAGGGGGAGAUGAAGGUGAGACAGGCUCAGGAAUGUGAAGACUGUUGGCUUCCCCCCACUUACUGUAAUUCAUCUAAAACUGUUUCAUUUCAGACCUAAAUCAUUUCAGUAGUGGCUUGUAUUGAGUAUGCAGUAGUAUUGUGUGUAUGUUUUUCUAUAUUCUUUAAUAAAUAUUUUGAUAAGAUUUUUUUUUUUUUUUUAAUUUAAAUAGCAAAACAAAAUAAAAUCCUAAAUUUGGCUUUUUGCACAACAUGUAUUUUAAAACUUUUCUGUAUAAAG